Molecule: long non-coding RNA, 1126 nt
Organism: Lathyrus oleraceus (garden pea)
Lineage: Eukaryota; Viridiplantae; Streptophyta; Magnoliopsida; Fabales; Fabaceae
Exons: 3
Source: RefSeq, a predicted model, not a curated record
AACAACGUAUGAACGCUUUGUUCACUUCGAUUUCUGCGUACCUUGCCAUCUCUCAAUUCAAAAGUCCGAGGUUCAUCGAGAUCUCUGAAUCACCAAGACGCCGCAGUAAACAUUGACACCGCAUCUAUCAUCCUCUUCAUCAACUGAAUCGUUAUUGCAUCGUGUAACCAAGAUGAAGCAAGAAGAACUUACUAGACUGAAGUUGUCGAAUUGAGUUAGUUGCGCACGAGGAAUCUGAGCUCCGACACAAUGAUUCUUCUAUGGCUUUACAGAGUUAGUAUGUGAUGCUUAACUACCUAGCUGGAAGUGGCAAUGAAAACGCGGUUUCCAAGUUUUGUUGCCCGAAAUUCAGAAAUGUUGUUUGCUGACUGUCAUGAUGAUGAUGCAAGUUGUUUGGCACAUAUUAAGGUCUGCUCGAUGUUUGUGAUUGGAUAUGCAGGGCAUUGCAGCUUGCUGUAGAUAGCCACUGAUGAUUAUGAAUCAGUGUUGCAGGGUCCUGUAUACAUUGUAUAUAGGCUGAUGCUUCUACAUUUGGUAAUGUUUGUUUAUUGCUAAUGUUCAUGAGCUAAAGUAGUUAAUUAAAUGUUAGUCUCUUAUCACUUCUGCUUGUGAUGUGGUUAUUUUGUUUGGAUAAGGAGGGUUGCACCUGGAGCUGAAGUCAUGGCAAGAUUUUCGCCAAGCCGUGGGACCUCUUUCAUGCUUAAUUAUGCAGAAUUUUACAGGAUGCAUUAGGACUGGAUGGCGCUGUUAUGAUGCAAGGCUCUCUCUUCUGCAUGGUCUGAAUACAUUAGGGCUGACUUUGCAUUGAAUCAAGACCUCGAAACAUACACAUGAUGAACAUUCCAUGGCCAAAUGCAAACUAAGCUUUCUUGUAGUGGAAGUAGGCUUGAAUGGAGGGCUUAAUGGGAUGAUGUAGGAUGAUGACUUAAGAUCCAAGAAACUUAGGAUUUAAGCUUAGAGAAAUAUAGGGUUGACUUUGGUCUAAGUUGACCAAAAAGUCAAUGGUUGACCAAAGUCAACCUUUGCCAAUUUUGUAAAAAAAAUUGUAUGAAUCUUGGUAAGUGGUAUAUGUAUGAAUGAAUAACUUUUAAAUGAAUAAGAAUCUCUCAUGGUUUAAUGUAAGAAA